This 69-nucleotide transfer RNA is filed under the name Marmota marmota marmota (Alpine marmot). It matches the Rfam family "tRNA". Rfam says of the family: Transfer RNA (tRNA) molecules are approximately 80 nucleotides in length. Their secondary structure includes four short double-helical elements and three loops (D, anti-codon, and T loops). RNAcentral also lists the same sequence under 4 other names. The record is from Rfam by way of RNAcentral. Lineage: Eukaryota; Metazoa; Chordata; Mammalia; Rodentia; Sciuridae.
GGGGUUGUGGCUCAGCAGUAGAGUGCUCGCCUAGCAUGUGUGAGGCCCUGGGUUCAAUCCUCAGCACCA